GGGGGAAAAAUUAAUAAAAAAAAAAUUAAUAAAAAAAUUUUUAAAGAAUUAUAAAAUAUAUUUUAAUGGGGGUUAAAGUAUAAAAUAAGAAAAAAUUUAAAAAUUUAUAGUUUAAUAGUAUUGUAAAAGAAUAAUUGAAAUAUCAUGAAAAUUAAUUAGUUAAAAAGUAAAUUUAGUUUAUUGUAUCUUGUGUAUCAGAGUUUAUUAAUAAAAAUUUUUAGUUGAAUAAUUCUCGAAUUAAAAAGAGAAAAUUAAUUAAAAAAUUUAUUGUUUCAUAAAUAUUUUUAAUAAUUAAUUGGAAAUGAAAUGUUAAUCGUUUUUUAAGAUAUCUAGUUUUUUUAGAAAUAAAUUCAAUUUAGAAUUUUUUUUUAAAAUAAAUUUAAUUUAAAAAUUUAUUUUUAAAUUAAUUUAAUAUUUUAAGGGAUAAUCUUUAAAUUAAAAUUUUAUAAUAAUUAAAAUUUAAUAAUUAAAAUUUUUAGAAUUUAUAUUGUUUAUAAAUUAUAUUUUUUUAUAAAAAAUUUUAUAAAAAAAAAAAUUUUUAAUAAAAAUAUUUAAAUUUAUAUAAAAAAAUAAUUUUUAAUAAAAUAAAAUUAGUUAUAAUGAUAAAAUUAGUAUAAUAUAUUAUAAUAAAUUAAUUAAAUUUAAUUUAAUUUAAAAAUUAAUAAAAAGGAAUUCGGCAAAUAUACAUAUUCACUUGUUUAUCAAAAACAUGUCUUUUUGAUUAUAAUUUAAAGUCUAAUCUGCCCACUGAUAUAAUAUUAAAGGGCUGCAGUAUAUUGACUGUACAAAGGUAGCAUAAUCAAUAGUCUUUUAAUUGAAGACUUGUAUGAAGGAUUUGAUGAGAUAUGAACUGUCUCUUUAUUAAAAUUAGAAUUUAAUUUUUUAGUAAAAAAGCUUAAAUAAAUUUAAAAGACGAGAAGACCCUAUAGAGUUUAAUUAUUUAUUUUAAUUUAAAUUUUAUAUAAAAAUUGAAAAUAAAAAAUUAUUAAAAUAAUUUUGUUGGGGUGAUAAAAAAAUUAAAAAAACUUUUUUUUUUUAUUUACAUAAAUUAAUGAGUUUUUGAUCCAUAUUUUAUGAUUAAAAGAAAAAAUUACCUUAGGGAUAACAGCGUAAUUUUUUUUUUUAGUUCAAAUAAAAAAAAAAGUUGGCGACCCCGAUGUUGGAUUAAAAAAAAAUUUAAAGGUAAAAGUUUAAAAUUUUGAUCUGUUCGAUCAUUAAAAUCUUACAUGAUCUGAGUUCAAACCGGGGGGAGCCAGGUGGGUUUCUAUCUUUAAAAAAAUUAAAAUAUUUUAGUACGAAGGGAUUGAAUAUUUAAAAUAAAUUUUAAUAAAAAUUUUGAAUUU
RNAcentral lists this ribosomal RNA (1343 nucleotides) under Tapena vasava (tawny angle). RNAcentral describes it as "Ctenoptilum vasava (tawny angle) 16S ribosomal RNA". Lineage: Eukaryota; Metazoa; Arthropoda; Insecta; Lepidoptera; Hesperiidae. The record is from RNAcentral.